AGGACUAACGCUGGCGGCGUGCCUAACACAUGCAAGUCGAACGAGAGUAGCAAUACUCUAGUGGCAGACGGGUGAGUAACACGUGGUCAAUCUACCUUUUAGUGGGGGAUAACUAGCCGAAAGGUUAGCUAAUACCGCAUACGAUCUUCGAGUGGCAUCACUUGAAGAGGAAAAGAGCAAUCUGCUAAAAAGACGGGACCGCGUCCCAUUAGCUAGUUGGUGGGGUAAAGGCCUACCAAGGCGACGAUGGGUAGCUGGCUUGAGAGAGCGACCAGCCACACUGGGACUGAGACACGGCCCAGACUCCUACGGGAGGCAGCAGUGAGGAAUUUUCCGCAAUGGGCGAAAGCCUGACGGAGCGACGCCGCGUGUGGGAAGAAGGCCUUCGGGUCGUAAACCACUGUCGAAGGGGAAGAUAUUGACGGUACCCUUGGAGGAAGCCCCGGCUAACUACGCGCCAGCAGCCGC
This 468-nucleotide ribosomal RNA is filed under the name uncultured bacterium. RNAcentral's name for it is "SSU rRNA". It matches the Rfam family "Bacterial small subunit ribosomal RNA", at positions 26 to 518 of the family's 1533-position model. The record is from RNAcentral.